GAUGAACGCUAGCUACAGGCUUAACACAUGCAAGUCGCGGGGCAGCAUGGGGGUUGCUUGCAAUCCCCGAUGGCGACCGGCGCACGGGUGAGUAACGCGUAUCCAACCUGCCCUUCACCACGGGAUAACCCGGCGAAAGUCGGACUAAUACCGUAUGUUGUCCAUUGACGGCAUCCGAUUUGGACGAAAGGCUUGGCGGUGAGGGAUGGGGAUGCGUCCGAUUAGCCAGACGGCGGGGUAACGGCCCACCGUGGCUACGAUCGGUAGGGGUUCUGAGAGGAAGGGCCCCCACACUGGGACUGAGACACGGUCCAGACUCCUACGGGAGGCAGUAGUGAGGAAUAUUGGUCAAUGGGCGUAAGCCUGAACCAGCCAAGUAGCGUGCAGGAUGACGGCCCUAUGGGUUGUAAACUGCUUUUAUGCGGGGAUAAAGUGGCCCACGUGUGGGCUUUUGCAGGUACCGCAUGAAUAAGGACCGGCUAAUUCCGUG
Molecule: ribosomal RNA, 490 nt
Filed under: uncultured bacterium
Lineage: Bacteria
Description: partial 16S ribosomal RNA
Rfam family: Bacterial small subunit ribosomal RNA
Source: RNAcentral